UCUAUAUGUAUAAAUAGCAUGUUGAGCUUUCAUUUGGUAAAAUAAGAAGAAAAAUAAAAGAGAGUAAUAAAAUGGCAAAUGAAGAGAGUGAACUUUACUUUGUUUUUAUGAACUAUGAUCCUGAAUACGAACGUCUUCGAUCCAAAAGAACAAAGAAGGGAAGCUAUGAGCUGGAUGUGUACAUAAGCAAUAAACAUGAUGAGCUGUUAGCAAAUACAUUUGAGGCAGGAAGCUAUAUAAAGAGAUUGUCUUUGGUUAUUGUUGAUGGAUUUGCUGUUGAAAUCACUCAACAUCAGGCUAAUGUGCUUAGAUCUGCAAAAGAAGUGAGGGUUGUGGAGAAAAAUCAAGAACUUGCUUAAUGGCUUGGAUGGUUAUUAUUAUUGAGAAAUUUAAUAUAUAGAUUUAAAAAUAUAUUUACCCAUCGACCAUAAAAAAAAAAAGUGAGAAGAGAAAAGGAAGGGAAGGGGGUGGGGUUAUGUUUUAUUAAUGCACCAUAUAUAUUGAGCUAUAAGUAAUUAAAUUUAUCGUUAUUACAUAUAUUUAAUUGUGAUGAUGGAUUUUCGUUGAUAAAAGUGGAUUUGUACUCAUGAAUAUAUGUUUAUUGUAAUCAAAUUUCAUUAAUUGAUGACUUUCUAAUACUAUAAUUUGGACAUGUA
Molecule: long non-coding RNA, 656 nt
Organism: Solanum lycopersicum (tomato)
Lineage: Eukaryota; Viridiplantae; Streptophyta; Magnoliopsida; Solanales; Solanaceae
Product: subtilisin-like protease SBT2.5
Source: RefSeq, a predicted model, not a curated record